This 51-nucleotide microRNA precursor is filed under the name Notamacropus eugenii (tammar wallaby). RNAcentral's name for it is "miRNA (ENSMEUG00000018242.1)". Lineage: Eukaryota; Metazoa; Chordata; Mammalia; Diprotodontia; Macropodidae. The record is from RNAcentral.
CGGAGCGGGCUCCCUGGCGGGGCUGGGGCCGGGGCCGAGACUGGGGGGGCC